This 814-nucleotide ribosomal RNA is filed under the name Candidatus Phytoplasma fraxini. RNAcentral describes it as "bacterial SSU rRNA". It matches the Rfam family "Bacterial small subunit ribosomal RNA", at positions 530 to 1351 of the family's 1533-position model. The record is from RNAcentral. Lineage: Bacteria; Bacillati; Mycoplasmatota; Mollicutes; Acholeplasmatales; Acholeplasmataceae.
GGGGGCGAGCGUUAUCCGGAAUUAUUGGGCGUAAAGGGUGCGUAGGCGGUUAGGAAAGUCUAUAAUUUAAUUUCAGUGCUUAACGCUGUCUUGUUAUAGAAACUACCUUGACUAGAGUUAGAUAGAGGCAAGCGGAAUUCCAUGUGUAGCGGUAAAAUGUGUAAAUAUAUGGAGGAACACCAGAAGCGUAGGCGGCUUGCUGGGUCUUGACUGACGCUGAGGCACGAAAGCGUGGGUAGCAAACAGGAUUAGAUACCCUGGUAGUCCACGCCGUAAACGAUGAGUACUAAGUGUCGGGAUAAAACUCGGUACUGAAGUUAACACAUUAAGUACUCCGCCUGAGUAGUACGUACGCAAGUAUGAAACUUAAAGGAAUUGACGGGACUCCGCACAAGCGGUGGAUCAUGUUGUUUAAUUCGAAGAUACACGAAAAAUCUUACCAGGUCUUGACAUGCUCUGCAAAGCUAUAGAAAUAUAGUGGAGGUUAUCAGGGACACAGGUGGUGCAUGGUUGUCGUCAGUUCGUGUCGUGAGAUGUUAGGUUGAGUCCUAAAACGAGCGCAACCCUUGUCGUUAGUUACCAGCACGUAAUGGUGGGCACUUUAACGAGACUGCCAAUUAAACAUUGGAGGAAGGUGAGGAUUACGUCAAAUCAUCAUGCCCCUUAUGAUCUGGGCUACAAACGUGAUACAAUGGCUGUUACAAAGAGUAGCUGAAGCGCGAGUUUUUAGCCAAUCUCAAAAAAGCAGUCUCAGUUCGGAUUGAAGUCUGUAACUCGACUUCAUGAAGUUGGAAUCGCUAGUAAUCGCGAAUCA